GGACCAUCCUGCAUAUCAGAUAUUUACAUUACGAUUCAUAACAGUAGCAACAUUACAGUUAUGAAGUAGCAACGAAAAUAAUUUUAUGGUUGGGUCACAACAUGAGGAACUGUAUUUAAAGGGCCAGAAGGUUGAAAACCACUGUGCUAGAUUAUCCAUCACUUUGAAGAAGACAGGGCUCAAAGUGCUCCAAGCACAUGCAGAGCAGGGCUACCCUCUUGCAGCCAAGAAGAGAAGCCGGUCCAUAUUCCUUCCAAACCUUUGUGACUAGAUGAGCUGGGAACUUUUUAAUUUGUAGAACUAGUCAGUGCAAAUACUGUACUAUCCCUCAUAGGGGAAUAUCCCAUAACAAAACAUUAAUAUUUCUGCAACGAAUAUUCACACUUAGGGAUUCAUCAUGGUUACAAAUAGCUUCCAUGUAGAUUCAGGUCAGUUUUGGUGUCAAAUUUAAGUUAUGAAAAAUUUUUGGUUUUCAGAGCACUAGAGACUGGAAAUGAGGGUCUGGAUUUCCCCCACUGGAGGGAAAUAGACUCAGGAGCCAUGUCUUAGCAACUCACGGAAACUCGGGGUUCUCUGUACUUAAAAUUUCAUUCUACAUUGUCUUCCUUCCACCAAAGAAAACUAGACAAAAAAGGUCAGAAUUGGACUUGUUAUUCAUACAUUUGCAUUGAUUUAAAUACAUUACAUACAAUUCUACAGUGCAUUAGAACAGUAAGAGGCAGGAGGACUACAGCCCAGCCUCUACUCCCUGACACCGGGGGACAGGGCCUAUGGCUGGCAGAGGGCUGGGCCAUUCCAUGAGUGCCACCCAGAAGCCUGCCCUGGCACUCUGGACCCCUGGCUCUCGCAAAGUCCACAUUCAAGGCAACCUGAGUACAGGUUUCAAAGAGAGCAGAGAGGCCAGGAAAGGAUGCCCCUCCCACUCUCUCACCUGCCAGGACUGGGACCAGGCCCCUCUUACAUUAGACCCAGUUUCCUUCCCACAGAGCUGGUCUGGAUGAGGGCAAUGUGCAGAUCUGCUUGGUUGGGGAGAGCAAGUAGGUUCCUCAUUAGAAUCCUCAGGCUCUCUUGAUGCCCACCUUUACCACACGUUUAUACAAAGAUGUCUGUGGAGAGCUAAACACACCUGGGCCCCCUUCCAGCUUCUGGGAGCCCUACUACUCCUGCAGUCUGAGGGCAGACAUUCUCAAAAACAUGGUCCCCAAGGCUAGUGUCCAGGUUGGCUGACUGGGAUUGUGAAGGGAGCUGUGCCUUUGUCCAUGGGGCAUGCACACCCAGCUCCCAGAGACUCUUCCCGUCAGCUGGAUGGAAGCCCAAGAUAAGCUGGCUCCGGGGGCUGGAAUGGAAGGGCAGCCUGGCCCAGCUUAUGAGAUGCUGCACAUCUCCCCUCUGUCUCCUGGAGGGCAGGGGAUGGGCAAGCCAAGGGCACAAGACCUAGUCCUCGCUCCCUUUCUUUGGUUGUUUUUCAAACCUUCACGAUAGUUUAUUUCACAGCUGAUUGACCAAUCGCAGGGUUCCAGAAACUUGGGAGUCCAGUAGCAUACGGCUGCUCCUGAGCUACAGAUGGCACCCUCUUUUCUCCCUUGUGGGGGCCACUCUUUGCUUUGGUGUAGAAAGGGCUUGGGCACCUGGCAAGGGGAUAGCUGAGGGGAGAGACAUGGAAGCAGGAAGUGCACUGAGCUGGACUGGCACUGGGGAACAGUUUGAAGGCCUCUCUCCUUUGGGCCCACUUUUCUCAAGAAGCCAUGGAAAAACUGGCCUGGAACAAAGUGAGGGAGCAAAGCGCAGCUACCAAUUAGCAGAACACAAGGCCUGUUACCUCAACCAAGCAGCAGUGGUAGCAUAAAGAGAACCUGAUAUCCCGUCCUCUUAUGAGCUGAGACCCACUCCAGAAUCCAAACUGAACCCCUUAGUCAGAAUUGAGAAAAGAAACGUCUAAAAUAAUGGGAACUAAUGAGAGGACUGGGAGUUUAUCACCUAUGGCUAGGGCCAAGGACUCAGGAAGCAAGACGGGGAUAAGUUUGCCCAUAGACCAAUUACAGUUCCCAGCAUACACUCAGGCUACAUGGAUCACUUGUACAUGCCGGGGAGUCCACGUCCUCCCUCCUGCCUUUACCUGAGUGAUAGGCAGGUUGCAGGCCUGCACUUGAGAGGUUGGAUCCCUAGCAGAGCAGAGAGCAGAGCUGAUCUAUAGGAUCAUAUACAGAGCUGCUAGGAGGUCUAGAGCAAAAGUACCCCCGCCAUGCAAAUUGCAUUUGGAGGCUUUUAGUCAGCCUACUGCACUGGUGGGAGGAAAAAGAGAAGACUUGGCAAAAUCUCAAAGGAAAGGUACCGCUUCUGUCUGCCCCAGGAAUGCGAGUAACCCAGCUGCCUUGGUCCAUUAGAGUGAGGCAUCUGAAUGUCUGGGUCCAUGCAAAUCUAGGUCUGGAUUCAGGGUUUCUGAAUGAAUCUGGGAUUCUGCCUGGGUUUAGCUAAUAAUUUAAAUUUUUGUUGUUUGUUUGUUUCUGAUGCAGAAUAUAAUGAGGAAUUGCAACAGCGCCCAGGUCUCACCAGGAAAGGGGAUUUCCCAGCCUGCCCUCAGGAGGUGCUGGAAGGCAGAUGCUCCUUCCAUGGAGCUCCAGCCUUCCUCAGCACUCAGGGGAGCCCACCCGCACUCGCUGUUGCUCUGUUUGUGCUUCUCCCUGUGCUUGGGAAAGCCCUGAGGGGGAUGGUGAGCAGAGAGGGAGGGCUCUCACGGGCACUGCUUUCUACUGGCUUCUCAGGCUUUUCCUGCAACCCGCUCCCCAAGUUUCCUCCUAGCCCAAGUCUCAGACAACGUACUCUUGUCUGCCUCUUGGGCUACCACCACGAAAAGAAGGGUUUCCGACUCUGAAAGCUCUGUGUGUAGGAUUCACUAGCAGACCGCUGGUGGGAAUGAGCUGUCUCAACAAUCACAGGUGGCAUCUGGACCAGGUGCAGGGGACUCUUGUUGUCUUUCAAGGCCUGAGUCAGAUUUAGGAUCUGCAGUGGGAAAAUGAGAUAAAUUAAGGAAAGGCAUAGGCAUCCAGGCGUGCCUCUAAAGGGAGACUGGCAGACAGAAUGCUCCUAUAAAUCAAUAAAAAAAAAAAAAUAAACAACAUGCUAAUGGAAAACUGUACAAAUAAUCUAUUUAUAAGAGUAGGACUGUAAGUGGGCAAUAUAUAGAAAAUGGAAAGUUCUCUAGUCAUUUUAAAAAUGAAGAUUACAAAA
Molecule: long non-coding RNA, 3228 nt
Organism: Myotis daubentonii (Daubenton's bat)
Lineage: Eukaryota; Metazoa; Chordata; Mammalia; Chiroptera; Vespertilionidae
Source: RefSeq, a predicted model, not a curated record